RNAcentral lists this unclassified non-coding RNA (1244 nucleotides) under Triptilion capillatum. RNAcentral's name for it is "partial external transcribed spacer". The record is from RNAcentral. Lineage: Eukaryota; Viridiplantae; Streptophyta; Magnoliopsida; Asterales; Asteraceae.
CUUGCAUGACAUGCUACAGCCCCCCCUUGGUGGCAUGCCGAUGACAAGCAUACGGCCCGAUUUCUAGGUGUGCGUUGGAUCGAUGUCGUGCGGCCCGUAGCGGUUUCGUGUUGGUUUGCCGAUCGUCGAAGCUCGUCCCGUCGCUGUGUAGUAACCUGCCUCGGUCCACGUAUGUGGCAUGUGGAGGAGAAAAUCUCGACCGGACUUGCGAGGGCGUUGACGCGGCCUGGGCGGAGUUUGCUAUCGUGCCCUGCGAUGCCGGUUUCAACGUGCUGUCCGUACCGAUGAGGCCCGAUUUCCGUGUGUGCGUUGGAUCGAUGCCGUGCGGCCCGUUGCGGAUUCGUGUUGGUUUGCCGAUCGUCGAAGCUCGUCCCGUCGCUGUGUAGUAACCUGCCUCGGUCCACGUAUGUGGCAUGUGGAGGUGAAAAUCUCGACCGGACUUGCGAGGGCGUUGACGCGGCCUGGGCGGAGCUUGCUAUCGUGUCCUGCGAUGUCGGUUUCAACGUGCUGUCCGUACCGAUGAGUUGGAUCGGUGUUGUGCGGCUCGUUGCGGUUUCGUGUUGGUUUUGCUGAUCGUCGAAGCUCGUCCCGUCGCUGUGCAGUAACCUGCCUCGGUCCACGUAUGUGGCAUGUGGAGGAGAAAAUCUCGACCGGACUUGCGAGGGCGUUGACGCGGCCUGGGCGGAGUUAGCUUUCUUGUCGUGCAACAUCGUGGUUUAUGCGUUUCUCGUACCGUUCGGUGCAUUUCGGGAGCUUCUUCGUGCUCGUAGUUGCUUGCUUGGCCUUCGUGCUGGGCUUGUGGCUACUUGUGCGGGUCGCUUCGGGGAAUGUUUAUCGUAAAGGUGCAUGAGUGGUGUUUGGUGUGUUGCUGGUGGUUGGCUGACUGCAUUCGCAGCAACGUCCACUGGGGCACGCCUCUUCAUUUACGGCGAACGGUUGAUUGUCAACCGGGAGCAUAUGUCGGGCUUUCCUGUGCUGCGUACCUACUUUAGGGCAUGCCGUCGGUUGGUUAACGUGCGUUUUCGUCCCGCGUCGCUCGCGUGACGUGGGACGGACCAGAACUGGCCUCUCUAUGGUCCAUGUCUUUGACGCAUCGCGUCUUUGGCAUGGCCCAUUGUGCGUGGCUUGGUUUCUUGGAUACGGAACCUUAUGUGGGCAUGGGGUUGCUUGCGACCCCGAUUUUGCCCUCGUCAAGCGUUCUUGCCCCUAGAAAACAACAUGCGGUCGUGCGUCGACUUGUUUAU